GAGUUUGAUCCUGGCUCAGAUUGAACGCUGGCGGCAUGCCUUACACAUGCAAGUCGAACGGUAACAGGUCUUCGGACGCUGACGAGUGGCGAACGGGUGAGUAAUACAUCGGAACGUGCCCAGUCGUGGGGGAUAACUACUCAAAAGAGUAGCUAAUACCGCAUACGAUCUGAGGAUGAAAGCGGGGGACCUUCGGGCCUCGCGCGAUUGGAGCGGCCGAUGGCAGAUUAGGUAGUUGGUGGGAUAAAAGCUUACCAAGCCGACGAUCUGUAGCUGGUCUGAGAGGACGACCAGCCACACUGGGACUGAGACACGGCCCAGACUCCUACGGGAGGCAGCAGUGGGGAAUUUUGGACAAUGGGCGAAAGCCUGAUCCAGCAAUGCCGCGUGCAGGAUGAAGGCCUUCGGGUUGUAAACUGCUUUUGUACGGAACGAAAAAGCUUCUCCUAAUACGAGAGGCCCAUGACGGUACCGUAAGAAUAAGCACCGGCUAACUACGUGCCAGCAGCCGCGGUAAUACGUAGGGUGCGAGCGUUAAUCGGAAUUACUGGGCGUAAAGCGUGCGCAGGCGGUUAUGUAAGACAGAUGUGAAAUCCCCGGGCUCAACCUGGGAACUGCAUUUGUGACUGCAUGGCUAGAGUACGGUAGAGGGGGAUGGAAUUCCGCGUGUAGCAGUGAAAUGCGUAGAUAUGCGGAGGAACACCGAUGGCGAAGGCAAUCCCCUGGACCUGUACUGACGCUCAUGCA
Molecule: ribosomal RNA, 747 nt
Filed under: uncultured bacterium
Lineage: Bacteria
Description: bacterial SSU rRNA
Rfam family: Bacterial small subunit ribosomal RNA
Source: RNAcentral